GAUGAACGCUGGCGGCGUGCCUAAUACAUGCAAGUCGAGCGAACAGACGAGGAGCUUGCUCCUCUGACGUUAGCGGCGGACGGGUGAGUAACACGUGGAUAACCUACCUAUAAGACUGGGAUAACUUCGGGAAACCGGAGCUAAUACCGGAUAAUAUAUUGAACCGCAUGGUUCAAUAGUGAAAGACGGUUUUGCUGUCACUUAUAGAUGGAUCCGCGCCGCAUUAGCUAGUUGGUAAGGUAACGGCUUACCAAGGCGACGAUGCGUAGCCGACCUGAGAGGGUGAUCGGCCACACUGGAACUGAGACACGGCCCAGACUCCUACGGGAGGCAGCAGUAGGGAAUCUUCCGCAAUGGGCGAAAGCCUGACGGAGCAACGCCGCGUGAGUGAUGAAGGUCUUCGGAUCGUAAAACUCUGUUAUUAGGGAAGAACAAAUGUGUAAGUAACUAUGCACGUCUUGACGGUACCUAAUCAGAAAGCCACGGCUAACUACGUG
This 497-nucleotide ribosomal RNA is filed under the name uncultured bacterium. RNAcentral's name for it is "partial 16S ribosomal RNA". It matches the Rfam family "Bacterial small subunit ribosomal RNA", at positions 28 to 507 of the family's 1533-position model. The record is from RNAcentral.